Molecule: ribosomal RNA, 849 nt
Filed under: Tetracladium furcatum
Lineage: Eukaryota; Fungi; Ascomycota; Leotiomycetes; Helotiales
Description: LSU rRNA
Rfam family: Eukaryotic large subunit ribosomal RNA
Source: RNAcentral
AACAGGGAUUACCUCAGUAACGGCGAGUGAAGCGGUAACAGCUCAAAUUUGAAAUCUGCCGCAAGGCCGAGUUGUAAUUUGUAGAAGAUGCUUUGGGUAUGGCCCCGGUCUAAGUUCGUUGGAACACGACGUCAUAGAGGGUGAGAAUCCCGUAUGUGACUGGGUGCUUUUGCCUAUGUAAAGCUCUUUCGACGAGUCGAGUUGUUUGGGAAUGCAGCUCAAAAUGGGUGGUAUAUUUCAUCUAAAGCUAAAUAUUGGCCAGAGACCGAUAGCGCACAAGUAGAGUGAUCGAAAGAUGAAAAGCACUUUGGAAAGAGAGUUAAACAGUACGUGAAAUUGUUGAAAGGGAAGCGCUUGCAACCAGACUUGCACGCUGUUGAUCAUCCAGGCUUCUGUUUGGUGCACUCAACUGCGUUCAGGCCAGCAUCGGUUUUGGUGGUGGGAUAAAGGCCUUGGGAAUGUAGCUUCUUUCGGGGAGUGUUAUAGCCCUCGGUGCAAUGCCGCCUACCGGGACCGAGGACCGCGCUUCGGCUAGGAUGCUGGCGUAAUGGUUGUAAGCGACCCGUCUUGAAACACGGACCAAGGAGUCUAACAUCUAUGCGAGUGUUUGGGUGUCAAACCCAUACGCGUAAUUAACGUGAACGGAGGUGAGAACCCUUAAGGGUGCAUCAUCGACCGAUCCUGAUGUCUUCGGAUGGAUUUGAGUAAGAGCAUAGCUGUUGGGACCCGAAAGAUGGUGAACUAUGCCUGAAUAGGGUGAAGCCAGAGGAAACUCUGGUGGAGGCUCGCAGCGGUUCUGACGUGCAAAUCGAUCGUCAAAUUUGGGUAUAGGGGCGAAAGACUAAUCGA